CCUACGGGAGGCAGCAGUGGGGAAUAUUGGACAAUGGGCGAAAGCCUGAUCCAGCAAUGCCGCGUGAGUGAUGAAGGCCUUAGGGUUGUAAAGCUCUUUUACCAGGGAUGAUAAUGACAGUACCUGGAGAAUAAGCUCCGGCUAACUCCGUGCCAGCAGCCGCGGUAAUACGGAGGGAGCUAGCGUUAUUCGGAAUUACUGGGCGUAAAGCGUACGUAGGCGGUUAUUCAAGUCAGAGGUGAAAGCCCGGGGCUCAACCCCGGAACUGCCUUUGAAACUAGAUAACUAGAGUCUUGGAGAGGUUAGUGGAAUUCCGAGUGUAGAGGUGAAAUUCGUAGAUAUUCGGAAGAACACCAGUGGCGAAGGCGACUAACUGGACAAGUACUGACGCUGAGGUACGAAAGCGUGGGGAGCAAACAGGAUUAGAUACCCUGGUAGUCCACGCCGUAAACGAUGAUAACUAGCUGUCCGGGCACUUGGUGCCUGGGUGGCGCAGCUAACGCAUUAAGUUAUCCGCCUGGGAGUACGGUCGCAAGAUUAAAACCUANAAAGAUGACGGCUGAGAGNGCGAGACGACGACGAGGAGAGG
RNAcentral lists this ribosomal RNA (589 nucleotides) under uncultured bacterium. RNAcentral describes it as "bacterial SSU rRNA". It matches the Rfam family "Bacterial small subunit ribosomal RNA", at positions 338 to 946 of the family's 1533-position model. The record is from RNAcentral.